Molecule: non-coding RNA, 120 nt
Organism: Taxawa tesnikishii (nom. ined.)
Lineage: Eukaryota; Fungi; Ascomycota; Dothideomycetes; Dothideales
Source: the annotation of a GenBank genome assembly
GGCGCCGUGGUGUAAUUGGUAACACAUCCACACGGACGGGUGUUCUUGUUUGAGUACCUAUCCUUAUUUCCUUACCCGUUCCGUGUGGAGGCAUGCAGCGUUCGAGUCCUGCCGGCGCCA